UUAUUGGACGAAAAAUCUUAUUGGAUUUUUCAGGAAUUUUUAGAAAUUUUCUGGGAAUUUUUCGGAGCUUGUACGUCGAGUUUUGAGGGGACGAACUGACGGGUUCAAAUAAAGCCUGUUUGGGAAACCCAUUUAAUUAAGUGAGGAAAUGAUUUAUUUAUAAAAUCAAUUUUCUUUUCUCCCCCAAAUUCGUUGAUUCCCGACCCCCAUCUUCCCCGAUCUCCUCUUCCUCGACCUCACGCCGAAACCCGAAACUCCCUUCCCUCUCCGGCGAUUUCUCGCCUCACCGACGCCAAGCUCACGAUCGCCGACCAUCUUCCUUCGGGUAGGGCUAGGGCAAAGACUCCAUUGGCUCCUCUUGCGAUCCUUUUCCUUUCUCUCUUUCUCACGAACGCCCGAUGCCAACGAAGAACGACUUCUUCCACGGCGAUCGCGUCCUCGUCGAGUCACCGGAGAGAAUGGCGUUGGUUUUCGGGGGUUACCGAUCAUCUCCCACUGAGAGGUUGUCUUCUCGGCGGUUUCUUGCUCGCGGUCGGCAGCAGCCUAGCGUCUAGGGCACAGCCGGGGGAGUUUGAUUCGCAUCACCAGCCGAUCAAUCGUCUCCUCCUCAAUUUGUUCCUUAGGAUUGAUCUGUAGCUCCACACCCGCUGGAUUGGAUCGGGCGACAUCAUCAGAGGCGACCUAUCAAGGGGAAAGUACCGAAUCAUCUUAGUGACAGAUCUUCCUUGAGUGGAUUUUGAUCUUCUUCUCUGUUCGUGGGCAAGAACAGAUCAUUUGCCCUAGCCUUGAUCUUGGAGGUGAUGAAAGUGUGGGCAGCAGUAAGCAUCAUACCCAUGAUUUCUAGCAGUGGUUGCUUCAGUUUUGGUUCUUUGGUAACUCUCGGGUGAAGAGCUUGAUUUGGGAUCAAUUGAGCUGUUAGGAGGAUUAUGGUGGGAGCUGUGAGUGUUGAUCAGCUACAACCUUCCAAGGACUUGGGUUCGGGACGAGCGUCUCGACGCGGGAUUACUUGGCACGAUCUACAU
Molecule: long non-coding RNA, 1022 nt
Organism: Zingiber officinale
Lineage: Eukaryota; Viridiplantae; Streptophyta; Magnoliopsida; Zingiberales; Zingiberaceae
Exons: 5
Source: RefSeq, a predicted model, not a curated record